This 778-nucleotide long non-coding RNA is filed under the name Brassica napus (rape). RNAcentral's name for it is "long non-coding RNA (BNAP_LNC026261)". Lineage: Eukaryota; Viridiplantae; Streptophyta; Magnoliopsida; Brassicales; Brassicaceae. The record is from RNAcentral.
UCCUUCGUCUGAUCUUUCUUCUUUCAUUCUAUCUCUUUCUCUGUAACAAUCGACUCAUGUAUUCACCUCCUCACCAUCACCACCGGUCGACCUCUCUUUGUCUUCCUCUUCUCUGGCUUCACCUUCGCUAUUUCUAAUUGAUAUGUUUUGUUUUGUUUAUAGAUCUGAGAAGGAGCAGUGAUGAACCUUCAAGGAGAAUGUGGGUGACGGAGACGACAGUGUGACGGUAAAAUUCUUCAUUGAUCAAUGCAAAUCUAACCCUUCACUUCUCUCGACUCAUUCCGCGAGUUUCUCAAGGCGUACCAAAUCCUCUCUCUCCUCGUUUACUUCGAUCUAAUCGUCUUUUUAUAUGCUUUAAUUUGUAUCUGUGGUAGUUGUGAUUCAUAAAGUAUUCAUCUUUGUUCUUGACCCUCUUUAUGUUCUUAGAUGCCAUAAAGCUGAGUUCUUGCUUAAUGUUUCAUUUGUUCUUGACUCCCUUUGCGUUUAUAGGCACAAGGUGAAUCUGACGAUGAAGGGAAGGAGAGGUGGUGGUGUGGGAAGAUGAUGAAACGGAAAAGAGAAGUGGUGGUGUGACAGUGCGGCGCCUCCGGUGAAGCGUAGUGCGGCGGUAGUGUAUUUGUAUGUAUAUACGUAUUUAUGUAUAUAUAUAUAUAACAAUAAUGUGUAUUUUUUGUUUUAGUAUUAAUUAAUAAAAAUUAUUUGUUUGUUUUUAUUUCUGUUUAUUUUUUAUUUUUUUUUAAUUUUUAGUAUAGCCACGCCAAUAGCUGUUAUUAUCGUG